This 253-nucleotide ribosomal RNA is filed under the name uncultured bacterium. RNAcentral describes it as "partial 16S ribosomal RNA". It matches the Rfam family "Bacterial small subunit ribosomal RNA", at positions 524 to 776 of the family's 1533-position model. The record is from RNAcentral.
UACGUAGGGUGCGAGCGUUGUCCGGAAUUACUGGGCGUAAAGAGCUCGUAGGUGGUUUGUCGCGUUGUUCGUGAAAACUCACAACUCAAUUGUGGGCGUGCGGGCGAUACGGGCAGACUGGAGUACUGCAGGGGAGACUGGAAUUCCUGGUGUAGCGGUGGAAUGCGCAGAUAUCAGGAGGAACACCGGUGGCGAAGGCGGGUCUCUGGGCAGUAACUGACGCUGAGGAGCGAAAGCGUGGGGAGCGAAUAGG